Molecule: non-coding RNA, 72 nt
Organism: Eublepharis macularius
Lineage: Eukaryota; Metazoa; Chordata; Lepidosauria; Squamata; Eublepharidae
Source: the annotation of a RefSeq genome assembly
GGGUCUGUGGCUUAGUGGUAGAGCUUCUGCUUGGCACGCAGAAGGUCCCAGGUUCAAUCCCUGGCAGUUCCA